Molecule: ribosomal RNA, 253 nt
Filed under: uncultured bacterium
Lineage: Bacteria
Description: partial 16S ribosomal RNA
Rfam family: Bacterial small subunit ribosomal RNA
Source: RNAcentral
UACGGGGGGGGCAAGCGUUGUUCGGAAUUACUGGGCGUAAAGGGCUCGUAGGCGGUCAACUAAGUCGGAUGUGAAAUCCCCAGGCUUAACCUGGGAACUGCAUCCGAUACUGGAUGGCUUGAAUCCGGGAGAGGGAUGCAGAAUUCCAGGUGUAGCGGUGAAAUGCGUAGAUAUCUGGAGGAAUACCGGUGGCGAAGGCGGCAUCCUGGACCGGCAUUGACGCUGAUGAGCGAAAGCAAGGGGAGCAAACGGG